RNAcentral lists this long non-coding RNA (268 nucleotides) under Lathyrus oleraceus (garden pea). Its description in RNAcentral is "Pisum sativum (pea) long non-coding RNA (PSAT_LNC030147)". The record is from RNAcentral. Lineage: Eukaryota; Viridiplantae; Streptophyta; Magnoliopsida; Fabales; Fabaceae.
UAAAAUAAAAGCGAUGCGGGAAAUAAAUAAAAUAAAAGCGAUGCGAGAAAUAAAUAAAAUAAAAGCGAUGCGGGAAAUAAAUAAAAUAAAAGUGAUAAAUAAGAACCUGCUCCAAAUGGAGGGCUUUAAAUCUGGUACAAAAAUAAACCUCCGACUCCUGAAGUUAAAGACGACAACAACUCAAAGUAACCCAACUCAAUCUCACUAAGGUGCGAUAACCCCCUGAUGUGACGGAUUACCGCUAUUACAAAUGACAAAUAUAUGCUUA